UACGAAGGGGGCUAGCGUUGCUCGGAAUCACUGGGCGUAAAGCGCACGUAGGCGGCUUUUAAGUCAGAGGUGAAAUCCUGGAGCUCAACUCCAGAACUGCCUUUGAUACUGAGAGGCUUGAGUCCGGGAGAGGUGAGUGGAACUGCGAGUGUAGAGGUGAAAUUCGUAGAUAUUCGCAAGAACACCAGUGGCGAAGGCGGCUCACUGGCCCGGUACUGACGCUGAGGUGCGAAAGCGUGGGGAGCAAACAGG
This 252-nucleotide ribosomal RNA is filed under the name uncultured bacterium. RNAcentral's name for it is "partial 16S ribosomal RNA". It matches the Rfam family "Bacterial small subunit ribosomal RNA", at positions 524 to 776 of the family's 1533-position model. The record is from RNAcentral.